UACAGAGGGUGCGAGCGUUGUCCGGAAUCACUGGGCGUAAAGGGCGCGUAGGCGGCAACUCAAGUCAGCUGUGAAAUCUCCGAGCUUAACUCGGAACGGUCAGCUGAUACUGUUUUGCUAGAGUGCAGAAGGGGCAAUCGGAAUUCUUGGUGUAGCGGUGAAAUGCGUAGAUAUCAAGAGGAACACCUGAGGUGAAGACGGGUUGCUAGGCUGACACUGACGCUGAGGCGCGAAAGCCAGGGGAGCAAACGGG
RNAcentral lists this ribosomal RNA (253 nucleotides) under uncultured bacterium. Its description in RNAcentral is "partial 16S ribosomal RNA". It matches the Rfam family "Bacterial small subunit ribosomal RNA", at positions 524 to 776 of the family's 1533-position model. The record is from RNAcentral.